NNCACCUGGGGGGGCCCAAAAAAACCCAAAAUCCCCCUUGGGGCUCCAAAAAUCCCAAAUCUCACCUGGGGGACCCCAGAAAUCCCCAAAUCCCCCUGGGGGGACCCCAAAAAUUCCCAAAAUUUCCCUGGGGGGACCCCAAAAAAUCCCAAAAUCUCACCUGAGCCCCCCCAGGUGGGACCGGGACCCCAAAAAUUCCCAAAAUCCCCCUGGGGGGACCCCAAAAAAUCCCAAAUCUCACCUGAGCCCCCAGGUGGGACCAGGACCCCAAAAAUUCCCAAAAUCCCCCUGGGGGGACCCCAAAAAUUCCCAAAUCUCACCUGGGGGGACCCCAAAAAAUUCCAAAUCCCACCUGACCCCCCAGGUGGGACCGGGACCCCAAAAAUUCCCAAAAUCCCCCUGGGGGGACCCCAAAAAACCCAAAAUCUCACCUGGGGGGGCCCCAAAAAAUCCCAAAUCUCACCUGAGUCCCCCCAGGUGGGACCGGGACCCCAAAAAUUCCCAAAAUCCCCCUGGGGGGACCCCAAAAAUUCCAAAUCUCACCUGGGGGGACCCCAAAAAAUCCCAAAUCUCACCUGAGCCCCCCCAGGUGGGACCGGGACCCCAAAAAUUCUCAAAAUUUCCCUGGGGGGACCCCAAAAAUUCCAAAUCUCACCUGGGGGACCCCAAAAAUCCCAAAUCCCACCUGGGGGGACCCCAAAAAUCCCAAAUCUCACCUGUGGGGACCCCAAAAAAUUCCAAAUCCCACCUGACCCCCCAGGUGGGACCGGGACCCCAAAAAUUCCCAAAAUUUCCCUGGGGGGACCCCAAAAAUUCCCAAAAUCCCCCUGGGGGGACCCAAAAAAUCCCAAAAUCUCACCUGAGCCCCCCAGGUGGGACUGGGACCCCAAAAAAUCCCAAAAUCCCCCUGGGGGCCCCAAAAAAUCCCAAAUCUCACCUGAGCCCCCCCAGGUGGGACCGGGACCCCAAAAAUUCCCAAAAUCCCCCUGGGGGGACCCCAAAAAUCCCAAAUCUCACCUGGGGGGGGGUCCCCAAAUUUCCCCCCCUGGGGAUUUUGGGGUCCCCCCUCCCCAAUUUUGUCUUUGUCGAAUAAAACUCCAAAACUUCUCUGGCUUUGUCCUUAAUUUUGGGGUGUCCCCAUAAAUGUUGAGGUUCCCCCGAUCCCUUUCA
RNAcentral lists this long non-coding RNA (1170 nucleotides) under Lonchura striata (white-rumped munia). RNAcentral describes it as "domestica (Bengalese finch) lncRNA (ENSLSDG00000002926.1)". Lineage: Eukaryota; Metazoa; Chordata; Aves; Passeriformes; Estrildidae. The record is from RNAcentral.